CAUGCAGUCGAGGGGUAUAGGUUUUCGGACCUAGAGACCGGCGCACGGGUGCGUAACGCGUAUGCAAUCUACCUUUCACAGAGGGAUAGCCCAGAGAAAUUUGGAUUAAUACCUCAUAGUAUAGCAGUUUCGCAUGAAACCACUAUUAAAGUCACAACGGUGAAAGAUGAGCAUGCGUCCCAUUAGCUAGUUGGUAAGGUAACGGCUUACCAAGGCAACGAUGGGUAGGGGUCCUGAGAGGGAGAUCCCCCACACUGGUACUGAGACACGGACCAGACUCCUACGGGAGGCAGCAGUGAGGAAUAUUGGACAAUGGGCGCAAGCCUGAUCCAGCCAUGCCGCGUGCAGGAUGACGGUCCUAUGGAUUGUAAACUGCUUUUGUACAGGAAGAAACACCUCUACGUGUAGAGACUUGACGGUACUGUAAGAAUAAGGAUCGGCUAACUCCGUGCCAGCAGCCGCGGUAAUACGGAGGAUCCAAGCGUUAUCCGGAAUCAUUGGGUUUAAAGGGUCCGUAGGCGGUCAGAUAAGUCAGUGGUGAAAGCCCAUCGCUCAACGGUGGAACGGCCAUUGAUACUGUCUGACUUGAAUUAUUAGGAAGUAACUAGAAUAUGUAGUGUAGCGGUGAAAUGCUUAGAGAUUACAUGGAAUACCAAUUGCGAAGGCAGGUUACUACUAAUGGAUUGACGCUGAUGGACGAAAGCGUGGGUAGCGAACAGGAUUAGAUACCCUGGUAGUCCACGCCGUAAACGAUGGAUACUAGCUGUUGGGCGCAAGUUCAGUGGCUAAGCGAAAGUGAUAAGUAUCCCACCUG
This 814-nucleotide ribosomal RNA is filed under the name Flavobacterium sp. SOK18b. Its description in RNAcentral is "bacterial SSU rRNA". It matches the Rfam family "Bacterial small subunit ribosomal RNA", at positions 54 to 875 of the family's 1533-position model. The record is from RNAcentral. Lineage: Bacteria; Pseudomonadati; Bacteroidota; Flavobacteriia; Flavobacteriales; Flavobacteriaceae.